Molecule: non-coding RNA, 114 nt
Organism: Acanthosepion pharaonis
Lineage: Eukaryota; Metazoa; Mollusca; Cephalopoda; Sepiida; Sepiidae
Source: the annotation of a GenBank genome assembly
UUACGGCCACAUCACGUCGAAACAGCGGUUCCCGUACGAUCACUGAAGUUAAGUAACGUAGAGCCUGGUCAGUAUUUAAAUGGUCGAUCGCUUGGAAAUACCAGGUUCUGUAAG